AAUAGAUACCCGGGUAGUCCACCCCGUAAACGUUGGGAACUAGUUGUGGGGUCCUUUCCACGGAUUCCGUGACGCAGCUAACGCAUUAAGUUCCCCGCCUGGGGAGUACGGCCGCAAGGCUAAAACUCAAAGGAAUUGACGGGGACCCGCACAAGCGGCGGAGCAUGCGGAUUAAUUCGAUGCAACGCGAAGGACCUUACCAAGGCUUGACAUACACCGGAAACGGCCAGAGAUGGUCGCCCCGCAAGGUCGGUGUACAGGUGGUGCAUGGUUGUCGUCAGCUCGUGUCGUGAGAUGUUGGGUUAAGUCCCGCAACGAGCGCAACCCUCGUUCUAUGUUGCCAGCACGUAAUGGUGGGAACUCAUGGGAUACUGCCGGGGUCAACUUGGAGGAAGGUGGGGAUGACGUCAAAUCAUCAUGCCCCUUAUGUCUUGGGCUUCACGCAUGCUACAAUGGCCGGUACAAAGGGCUGCAAUACCGUGAGGUGAGCGAAUCCCAAAAGCCGGUCCAGUUCGGAUUGAGGUCUGCAACUCGACCUCAUG
This 542-nucleotide ribosomal RNA is filed under the name uncultured bacterium. Its description in RNAcentral is "bacterial SSU rRNA". It matches the Rfam family "Bacterial small subunit ribosomal RNA", at positions 777 to 1322 of the family's 1533-position model. The record is from RNAcentral.